RNAcentral lists this ribosomal RNA (449 nucleotides) under uncultured bacterium. RNAcentral describes it as "partial 16S ribosomal RNA". It matches the Rfam family "Bacterial small subunit ribosomal RNA", at positions 29 to 523 of the family's 1533-position model. The record is from RNAcentral.
AACGAACGCUGGCGGCAUGCCUAACACAUGCAAGUCGAACGAGAUCUUCGGAUCUAGUGGCGCACGGGUGCGUAACGCGUGGGAAUCUGCCCUUUGGUUCGGAAUAACAGUUGGAAACGACUGCUAAUACCGGAUGAUGACGAAAGUCCAAAGAUUUAUCGCCAGAGGAUGAGCCCGCGUAGGAUUAGCUAGUUGGUGUGGUAAAGGCGCACCAAGGCGACGAUCCUUAGCUGGUCUGAGAGGAUGAUCAGCCACACUGGGACUGAGACACGGCCCAGACUCCUACGGGAGGCAGCAGUGGGGAAUAUUGGACAAUGGGCGAAAGCCUGAUCCAGCAAUGCCGCGUGAGCGAUGAAGGCCUUAGGGUUGUAAAGCUCUUUUACCCGGGAUGAUAAUGACAGUACCGGGAGAAUAAGCUCCGGCUAACUCCGUGCCAGCAGCCGCCGUAA